RNAcentral lists this ribosomal RNA (497 nucleotides) under uncultured bacterium. Its description in RNAcentral is "partial 16S ribosomal RNA". It matches the Rfam family "Bacterial small subunit ribosomal RNA", at positions 28 to 507 of the family's 1533-position model. The record is from RNAcentral.
GAUGAACGCUGGCGGCGUGCCUAAUACAUGCAAGUCGAGCGAACGGACGAGAAGCUUGCUUCUCUGAUGUUAGCGGCGGACGGGUGAGUAACACGUGGAUAACCUACCUAUAAGACUGGGAUAACUUCGGGAAACCGGAGCUACUACCGGAUAAUAUUUUGAACCGCAUGGUUCAAAAGUGAAAGACGGUCUUGCUGUCACUUAUAGAUGGAUCCGCGCUGCAUUAGCUAGUUGGUAAGGUAACGGCCUACCAAGGCAACGAUGCAUAGCCGACCUGAGAGGAUGAUCGGCCACACUGGAACUGAGACACGGUCCAGACUCCUACGGGAGGCAGCAGUAGGGAAUAUUCCGCAAAGGGCGAAAGCCUGACGGAGCAACGCCGCGUGAGUGAUGAAGGUCUUCGGAUCGUAAAACUCUGUUAUUAGGGAAGAACAUAUGUGUAAGUAACUGUGCACAUCUUGACGGUACCUAAUCAGAAAGCCACGGCUAACUACGUG